ACUUAGAGUUUGAUCAUGGCUCAGAAUGAACGCUGGCGGCAUGCCUAACACAUGCAAGUCGAACGAAGCCUUCGGGCUUAGUGGCGCACGGGUGCGUAACGCGUGGGAAUCUGCCCUUGGGUUCGGAAUAACAGUUAGAAAUGACUGCUAAUACCGAAUGAUGUCGUAAGACCAAAGAUUUAUCGCCCAGGGAUGAGCCCGCGUAGGAUUAGCUAGUUGGUGUGGUAAAAGCGCACCAAGGCGACGAUCCUUAGCUGGUCUGAGAGGAUGAUCAGCCACACUGGGACUGAGACACGGCCCAGACUCCUACGGGAGGCAGCAGUGGGGAAUAUUGGACAAUGGGCGAAAGCCUGAUCCAGCAAUGCCGCGUGAGUGAUGAAGGCCUUAGGGUUGUAAAGCUCUUUUACCCGGGAUGAUAAUGACAGUACCGGGAGAAUAAGCUCCGGCUAACUCCGUGCCAGCAGCCGCGGUACGCC
Molecule: ribosomal RNA, 476 nt
Filed under: uncultured bacterium
Lineage: Bacteria
Description: bacterial SSU rRNA
Rfam family: Bacterial small subunit ribosomal RNA
Source: RNAcentral